This 425-nucleotide ribosomal RNA is filed under the name uncultured bacterium. RNAcentral describes it as "partial 16S ribosomal RNA". It matches the Rfam family "Bacterial small subunit ribosomal RNA", at positions 354 to 796 of the family's 1533-position model. The record is from RNAcentral.
GUGGGGAAUCUUGCGCAAUGGGCGAAAGCCUGACGCAGCCAUGCCGCGUGAAUGAUGAAGGUCUUAGGAUUGUAAAAUUCUUUCACCGGGGACGAUAAUGACGGUACCCGGAGAAGAAGCCCCGGCUAACUUCGUGCCAGCAGCCGCGGUAAUACGAAGGGGGCUAGCGUUGCUCGGAAUUACUGGGCGUAAAGGGCGCGUAGGCGGACAGUUUAGUCAGAGGUUAAAGCCAAGGGCUCAACCUUGGAAUUGCCUUUGAUACUGGCUGUCUUGAGUACGGGAGAGGUGAGUGGAACUCCGAGUGUAGAGGUGAAAUUCGUAGAUAUUCGGAAGAACACCAGUGGCGAAGGCGACUCACUGGCCCGUUACUGACGCUGAGGCGCGAAAGCGUGGGGAGCAAACAGGAUUAGAAACCCCGGUAGUCC